GCUCAGCCGCUCCUGGGUGGGCGUGGGGUGACUGGGUGAACUUGCGACCAGGUGAACCUGCGACCAGGAAGCGACUGGCUGGAAUGGGGAUGGCCAGUGGCCCGGGCCCCCCUGACCCAGCGGAGUUCUCGAGAGUGUAGGUGCCCUUCCGGCUUGUGCUAAGGAGAGCUCAUCGAGGAGGCUGGCUUCAGGAGGAUGCAAAUCCUGGGAGCUGCUGCUGUUGGAGAUUAUUUCUCAUCCUUCUCCCAUUCUACCCUGAGAAGUUAGAGGUGUGGGUGGCCUGCAGCCCAGGCGCCCCCCUCCAUCCCUCUGUGUCGUUGGACACAGGCACCUGUAAAGGUUUGCUGCUUCUUUUCCUUUUUUAAAAAAGAUUUUAUUUAUUUG
This 384-nucleotide long non-coding RNA is filed under the name Ursus maritimus (polar bear). Its description in RNAcentral is "lncRNA (ENSUMAG00000014063.1)". Lineage: Eukaryota; Metazoa; Chordata; Mammalia; Carnivora; Ursidae. The record is from RNAcentral.